UUUAUUGGAGAGUUUGAUCCUGGCUCAGGAUGAACGCUGGCGGCGUGCCUAAUACAUGCAAGUCGAGCGAAUGGAUUAAGAGCUUGCUCUUAUGAAGUUAGCGGCGGACGGGUGAGUAACACGUGGGUAACCUGCCCGUAAGACUGGGAUAACUCCGGGAAACCGGGGCUAAUACCGGAUGACAUUUUGAACUGCAUGGUUCGAAAUUGAAAGGCGGCUUCGGCUGUCACUUAUGGAUGGACCCGCGUCGCAUUAGCUAGUUGGUGAG
Molecule: ribosomal RNA, 268 nt
Filed under: Bacillus cereus
Lineage: Bacteria; Bacillati; Bacillota; Bacilli; Caryophanales; Bacillaceae
Description: partial 16S ribosomal RNA
Rfam family: Bacterial small subunit ribosomal RNA
Source: RNAcentral